Molecule: transfer RNA, 72 nt
Filed under: Bos taurus (domestic cattle)
Lineage: Eukaryota; Metazoa; Chordata; Mammalia; Artiodactyla; Bovidae
Also listed under: 4 other names
Rfam family: tRNA
About the family: Transfer RNA (tRNA) molecules are approximately 80 nucleotides in length. Their secondary structure includes four short double-helical elements and three loops (D, anti-codon, and T loops). Further hydrogen bonds mediate the characteristic L-shaped molecular structure. tRNAs have two regions of fundamental functional importance: the anti-codon, which is responsible for specific mRNA codon recognition, and the 3' end, to which the tRNAs corresponding amino acid is attached (by aminoacyl-tRNA synthetases). tRNAs cope with the degeneracy of the genetic code in two manners: having more than one tRNA (with a specific anti-codon) for a particular amino acid; and 'wobble' base-pairing, i.e. permitting non-standard base-pairing at the 3rd anti-codon position.
Source: Rfam by way of RNAcentral
UCCCUGGCAGUUCAGUGGUUAGGACUUUGCCUUCUAAUGCACAGGGUACAGGUUCAAUUCCUGGUCAGGGAC